CUAGACACUGGAUUAUAGGCCUGACCU
This 27-nucleotide non-coding RNA is filed under the name Cricetulus griseus (Chinese hamster). The record is from RNAcentral. Lineage: Eukaryota; Metazoa; Chordata; Mammalia; Rodentia; Cricetidae.